CGGGUGCGGUGGCUCAACACCUGUAAUCCCAGCACUUUGGGAGGCUGAGGCGGACGGAUCAUGAGGUCAGGAGUUCGAGACCAGCCUGACCAACAUGGUAAAACCCCGUCUCUAUUAAAAAUACAAAAAUUAGCCGGGCCUGGUGGUGCAUGCCUGUAAUCCCAGCUACCUGUGAGGCUGAGGCAGGAGAAUUGCUUGAACCCAAGAGGUGGAGGUUGCAGUGACCCGAGAUUGCACUACUGCACUCCAGCUUGGGCAACACAGUGAGACUCAGUCUAAAAAACAUAAAUAAAUAAUAAAAAUAAAAGCACCCAGUUGCAGUGCCAUUAAAUUGAUUGAGGCCUUAAAAUUUGUAUUUAUCAUACUGAAUUUAUUUUGACUUUGCUUGCUAUCAAGUUUUCUUUCUCGCAGUGGAUUGUAUUACACAGAGCAUGAAUAUACUUCUUUAGGUUACACGCAUGGGGAGAUACUCUGGAGGAAGCAUUCGAGCAAUGUGCAAUGGCCAUGUUUGGUUACAUGACAGAUACUGGGACAGUGGAGCCCCUCCAAACAGUAGAAGUAGAAACCCAAGGAGAUGACUUACAGUCUCUUCUGUUUCACUUUUUGGAUGAAUGGCUUUAUAAGUUCAGUGCUGAUGAAUUCUUCAUACCCCGGGAAGUGAAAGUACUUAGCAUUGAUCAAAGAAAUUUCAAAUUACGAUCAAUUGG
This 707-nucleotide small RNA is filed under the name Pongo abelii (Sumatran orangutan). Its description in RNAcentral is "retained intron". The record is from RNAcentral. Lineage: Eukaryota; Metazoa; Chordata; Mammalia; Primates; Hominidae.